Molecule: ribosomal RNA, 378 nt
Filed under: uncultured fungus
Lineage: Eukaryota; Fungi
Description: eukaryotic LSU rRNA
Rfam family: Eukaryotic large subunit ribosomal RNA
Source: RNAcentral
AUAUCAAUAAGCGGAGGAAAAGAAACUAACAAGGAUUCCCCUAGUAACUGCGAGUGAAGCGGGAAAAGCUCAAAUUUAAAAUCUGGCAGUCUUUUUUUUCUUCUUUGGCUGUCCGAGUUGUAAUCUAGAGAAGUGCUUACCUGCACUGGACCAUGUAUAAGUCUCCUGGAAUGGAGCGUCGCAGAGGGUGAGAAUCCCGUCUUUGACAUGGACUGCCAGUGUGUUGUGGUGUGCUCUCAAAGAGUCGAGUUGUUUGGGAAUGCAGCUCUAAAUGGGUGGUAAACUCCAUCUAAAGCUAAAUAUUGGCGAGAGACCGAUAGUGAACAAGUACCGUGAGGGAAAGAUGAAAAGGACUUUGGAAAGAGAGUUAAACAGUAU